This 1250-nucleotide ribosomal RNA is filed under the name metagenome. RNAcentral's name for it is "bacterial LSU rRNA". It matches the Rfam family "Bacterial large subunit ribosomal RNA", at positions 1664 to 2925 of the family's 2925-position model. The record is from RNAcentral.
UGGGUGAGGAGAGAAUCCUAAGGUGAGCGAGAGAACUAUAGCUAAGGAACUCUGCAAAAUGACUCCGUAACUUAGGGAGAAGGAGUGCUCAUAGAGAUAUGAGCCGCAGUGAAACGGCCCAAGCGACUGUUUACCAAAAACACAGCUCCCUGCUAAGCCGCAAGGCGAAGUAUAGGGGGUGACGCCUGCCCGGUGCUGGAAGGUUAAGGGGAGGGGUUAACGCAAGUGAAGCCCUGAACUGAAGCCCCAGUAAACGGCGGCCGUAACGAUAACGGUCCUAAGGUAGCGAAAUUCCUUGUCAGGUAAGUUCUGACCCGCACGAAAGGCGUAACGAUUUGGGCGCUGUCUCAGCUGUAGACUCGGUGAAGUCUUAGUACCUGUGAAGAUGCAGGUUACCCGCGACUAGACGGAAAGACCCCAUGGAGCUUCACUGCAGGUUGAUAUUGGGAUUUGAUGCAGCAUGUACAGGAUAGGUAGGAGGCAAAGAGAUGGAUACGCCAGUAUUCAAGGAGCCGCUGUUGGGAUACUACCCCUGUUGUAUUGGAUUUCUAACCGGACGACGUAGAGCCGUUGACGGGACAGUGUCAGUCGGGCAGUUUGACUGGGGCGGUCGCCUCCCAAAGAGUAACGGAGGCGCCCAAAGAUACCCUCAGCUUGGAUGGAAACCAAGCGCAGAGUGCAAAGGCAAAAGGGUGUUUGACUGCGAGACCCACAAGUCGAGCAGGGACGAAAGUCGGGCUUAGUGAUCCGGCGGUGCUGAAUGGAAAGGCCGUCGCUCAACGGAUAAAAGCUACCCUGGGGAUAACAGGCUGAUCUCCCCCAAGAGUUCACAUCGACGGGGAGGUUUGGCACCUCGAUGUCGGCUCAUCGCAUCCUGGAGCUGAAGUCGGUUCCAAGGGUUGGGCUGUUCGCCCAUUAAAGCGGUACGCGAGCUGGGUUCAGAACGUCGUGAGACAGUUCGGUCCCUAUCUGUCGUGGGCGCAGGAAAUUUGAGAAGAGCUGUCCUCAGUACGAGAGGACCGGGAUGGACGCAUCAAUGGUGGACCAGUUGUCACGCCAGUGGCAUAGCUGGGUAGCUAAAUGCGGAAGGGAUAAACGCUGAAGGCAUCUAAGUGUGAAACCCACUUCAAGAUGAGAUUUCCCAUUGCGCAAGCAAGUAAGACCCCUUAAAGACGAUAAGGUAGAUAGGUCAGGAGUGUAAGCAUGGUGACAUGUUAAGCGGACUGAUACUAAUAGGUCGAGGGCUUGAC